AUGAGUGUGCAUCCAGCUUGUCCCCAAAACCUGCCUUGCUCUGAAGCAUCCAACUGUAAAGACUCUUUGCCAAUGUCUGUGAUUUGUGGGCCCAAAACAAACUAUCCAUCCUUGCAUAUAUCUUCUGCUGAGAUGCCUCACACAGAGUCUGGACAGCUCUAAUUCUUUCACGAGUCCCAAAGGCAGACAACUCACUUCUGCAGAGAAGAGCACCGCAAAAAAGGAAGACAAAGUCCUGGUCAAGAAACAGAUGACCAGAACUGUGUUCUCUUCCACCCAGCUGUGUGUACUCAGUGAUAGAUUUCAGAGACAGAAAUACCUCAGCCUCCAGCAGAUGCAAGAACUUUACAGCAUCCUGAAUCUUAGCUACAAACAGGUUAAGACUUGGUUCCAGAACCAGAGAAUAAAAUAUAAGAGGUGGCAGAAAAACAGCUGCCCAAAGAAUAGCAAUGGUGUGACUCCAAAGGCCUGAGCACCUACCUACCCCAGCCUCUAUUCUUCCUGCCUCCAAGGAUGCUUGGCGAACAUGUCUGGGAACCUUUCAAUGCAGAGCAACCAGACCUGUAGCAGUUCGGCCUGGGGCAACCAGACCUGGAACAUCCAGUCCUAGAACAGCCAUUCCUGAACACUCAGACCUGGUGCACCCAAUCCUGGAACAAUCAGGCCUGGAACAAUCCCUUCUAUAGCUGUGGAGAGGAAUCUCUGCAAGUCCUGCAUGCGGUUCCAGCAAAUUCUUCUCUCAGUGACUUGGAGGCUGCCUUGGAAACUGCUGAAGAAAGCUACAAUGGAAUACAGCAGACCACUAGGUAUUUUAGUACUCCACAAACCAUAGAUUUAUUCCUAAACUAUUCCAAGAACAUGCAGCCUGAAGAUAUGUAA
RNAcentral lists this long non-coding RNA (879 nucleotides) under Homo sapiens (human). RNAcentral describes it as "non-protein coding lnc-STX17-5:1". Lineage: Eukaryota; Metazoa; Chordata; Mammalia; Primates; Hominidae. The record is from RNAcentral.